GAUGAAGAACGUAGCAAACUGCGAUAAGUAAUGUGAAUUGCAGAAUUCAGUGAAUCAUCGAAUCUUUGAACGCACAUUGCGCCCGCCAGUAUUCUGGCGGGCAUGCCUGUUCGAGCGUCAUUACAACCCUCAGGCCCCCGGGCCUGGCGUUGGGGAUCGGCGGAAGCCCCCUGCGGGCACAACGCCGUCCCCCAAAUACAGUGGCGGUCCCGCCGCAGCUUCCAUUGCGUAGUAGCUAACACCUCGCAACUGGAGAGCGGCGCGGCCACGCCGUAAAACACCCAACUUCUGAAUGUUGACCUCGAAUCAGGUAGGAAUACCCGCUGAACUUAAGCAUAUCAAUAAGCGGAGGA
RNAcentral lists this unclassified non-coding RNA (353 nucleotides) under soil metagenome. RNAcentral describes it as "partial contains 5.8S ribosomal RNA, internal transcribed spacer 2, and large subunit ribosomal RNA". The stretch from base 1 to 120 matches the Rfam family "5.8S ribosomal RNA", at positions 35 to 154 of the family's 154-position model. The record is from RNAcentral.